UGCCAGCCGCCGCGGUAAGACGGAGGGUGCAAGCGUUGCUCGGAAUCACUGGGCGUAAAGCGUACGCAGGCGGCCCAGCAAGUCGGGUGUGAAAGCCCGGGGCUCAACCCCGGAACUGCAUUCGAAACUGCUGAGCUUGAAUACGGGAGAGGGAAGCGGAAUUCCUGGUGUAGAGGUGAAAUUCGUAGAUAUCAGGAGGAACACCAGCGGCGAAGGCGACUUUCUGGCUCGUAACUGACGCUGAGGCACGAAAGCGUGGGGAGCAAACAGGAUUAGAUA
RNAcentral lists this ribosomal RNA (279 nucleotides) under uncultured bacterium. RNAcentral describes it as "partial 16S ribosomal RNA". It matches the Rfam family "Bacterial small subunit ribosomal RNA", at positions 506 to 784 of the family's 1533-position model. The record is from RNAcentral.